AUUGAACGCUGGCGGCAGGCCUAACACAUGCAAGUCGAACGAGUGGCGGACGGGUGAGUAAUGUCUGGGAAACUGCCUGAUGGAGGGGGAUAACUACUGGAAACGGUAGCUAAUUCCGCAUACCAUCAGAUGUGCCCAUGUGGGAUUAGCUUGUUGGUGGGGUAACGGCUCACCAAGGCGACCAUCCCUAGCUGGUCUGAGAGGAGGACCAGCAACACUGGAACUGAGAAACGGUCCAGACUCCUACGGGAGGCGGCAGUGGGGAAUAUUGCACAAGGGGCGCAAGCCUGAUGCAGACAUGCGGCGGGUAUGAAGAAGGCCGUCGGGUUGUAAAGUACUUUCAGCGGGGAGGCGUUACCCGCAGAAGAAGCACCGGCUAACUCCGUGCCAGCAGCCGCGGUAAUUC
Molecule: ribosomal RNA, 406 nt
Filed under: uncultured bacterium
Lineage: Bacteria
Description: partial 16S ribosomal RNA
Rfam family: Bacterial small subunit ribosomal RNA
Source: RNAcentral